AACAAUGAGCUAAGCUCAUACCGCAUAAUCAGCUAUAAAAGGCCCCGAUAAGACAAUGUAAAACGAUUCAAACGAAAACUAACGGCCUUAUCUAUGUUAAAAAAAAUGAACGAAAACAAAUUGUACCAAAACAAACGACAACCACUGAAUUACAGGCUCCUGACUUGGGACAGGCACAUAACAGUUGUAUAAAUUUGCAUUGAUUGUCCUGAAUAUGCCUGAAAUGUAUAUCUUUCACUGGUUAACAAUAAAGCAAUCAUGAUUGAACCUUAUAUAUAAAUAUAUCCAAAAAUACCCUCUGUUAGACGACAUGGCUUGCAUUAAAUAAUCAUAAUAUUAGAUAAAGCUAUUAAAUGAGUUGUGAAAACAUAUCGAACAUUUUAAUCAU
RNAcentral lists this long non-coding RNA (388 nucleotides) under Mytilus galloprovincialis (Mediterranean mussel). The record is from RNAcentral. Lineage: Eukaryota; Metazoa; Mollusca; Bivalvia; Mytilida; Mytilidae.